This 554-nucleotide ribosomal RNA is filed under the name Listeria monocytogenes. Its description in RNAcentral is "bacterial SSU rRNA". It matches the Rfam family "Bacterial small subunit ribosomal RNA", at positions 219 to 765 of the family's 1533-position model. Lineage: Bacteria; Bacillati; Bacillota; Bacilli; Caryophanales; Listeriaceae. The record is from RNAcentral.
UUACAGAUGGGCCCGCGGUGCAUUAGCUAGUUGGUAGGGUAAUGGCCUACCAAGGCAACGAUGCAUAGCCGACCUGAGAGGGUGAUCGGCCACACUGGGACUGAGACACGGCCCAGACUCCUACGGGAGGCAGCAGUAGGGAAUCUUCCGCAAUGGACGAAAGUCUGACGGAGCAACGCCGCGUGUAUGAAGAAGGUUUUCGGAUCGUAAAGUACUGUUGUUAGAGAAGAACAAGGAUAAGAGUAACUGCUUGUCCCUUGACGGUAUCUAACCAGAAAGCCACGGCUAACUACGUGCCAGCAGCCGCGGUAAUACGUAGGUGGCAAGCGUUGUCCGGAUUUAUUGGGCGUAAAGCGCGCGCAGGCGGUCUUUUAAGUCUGAUGUGAAAGCCCCCGGCUUAACCGGGGAGGGUCAUUGGAAACUGGAAGACUGGAGUGCAGAAGAGGAGAGUGGAAUUCCACGUGUAGCGGUGAAAUGCGUAGAUAUGUGGAGGAACACCAGUGGCGAAGGCGACUCUCUGGUCUGUAACUGACGCUGAGGCGCGAAAGCGUGGG